This 253-nucleotide ribosomal RNA is filed under the name uncultured bacterium. Its description in RNAcentral is "partial 16S ribosomal RNA". It matches the Rfam family "Bacterial small subunit ribosomal RNA", at positions 524 to 776 of the family's 1533-position model. The record is from RNAcentral.
UACAGAGGGGGCAAGCGUUGUUCGGAAUUACUGGGCGUAAAGGGCGCGUAGGCGGCCUUCUAAGUCGAACGUGAAAUCCCCGGGCUCAACCCGGGAACUGCGUCCGAUACUGGAAGGCUUGAAUCCGGGAGAGGGUGGCGGAACUCCUGGUGUAGUGGUGAAAUGCGUAGAGAUCAGGAAGAACACCCGUGGCGCAAGCGGCCACCUGGCAGAGCACUGACGCUGAGGCACGAAAGCGUGGGUAGCGAACCGG